GAGCGAUGAUGAAAAGGCUUUUACUAUGGACCUUUAUAACUAUGAAAGUUUCUACACUUGACCUAAGUUCA
This is a non-coding RNA of Microcebus murinus (gray mouse lemur), 71 nucleotides long. Lineage: Eukaryota; Metazoa; Chordata; Mammalia; Primates; Cheirogaleidae. The record is from Rfam.